CAAUGGAGGGUCUAAUUCAAAAGGGGUUUUGAUUGGUGGAGAUUGUUCUGAGAUGUUAGGGUUUUUUAGAGUGAUUGCUUNAUUGUAGAAGGNAACGAUUGAUCAUGCUUGUUCAAGAUGUUGGGAUAGUGGGAGGGAAGUGUUCUCUGCAUUUGAAUUUGGGAUUUUAGAGAUUGAAGUAGGUUUGUGCUUGUAAGAGAAUGAUUGGGGAAGAAAGUUUCUGAGAGAUGUGAAGGAAAUGAUGCCAGAAAAACGAGCUGUGAGAGUGCGAGAAAUCUGUUGUUUGGGG
RNAcentral lists this long non-coding RNA (289 nucleotides) under Vigna radiata. Its description in RNAcentral is "long non-coding RNA (VRAD_LNC017306)". Lineage: Eukaryota; Viridiplantae; Streptophyta; Magnoliopsida; Fabales; Fabaceae. The record is from RNAcentral.